GAGAGCGAGCAGCCAGCUGGGAGGCAAAGGACAGACUUAGGAGGGGCCAUCUCAGAGAAACGGCUCAAAGACUGCAGCAGUGUGAGCUAUGGGCCCAGAAGGAAGGCUGUGAUACUCCAGACCAAGGAGGGGAAACUGAGUGGUCAGCUUGCCGCUGCCUUGAUUAAUCCAUUGAUGGUAAAAGGGUUUGAAGACAAAAGAAGAAAUAAUGCUCACUCGUGUGUGUCGAAAAGAAAAUUACAGAUACUAUCCCCCCGGGUUUGGAGAAGAAAUCUAAAUCGAACCUGCCAAGAUCAGAAAGAGACCCCUUACCCGUUGGACGAAGCGCGUGGAGGAGGAAGGGUCGGGAAGCCUAAGGAAGAUGCCAGCUGGAGCCCUGUUCAGUGUUGUCCAACCAAAGUUCCUUCGUGCAAUCAGAAACGACAGCUUCCUGCUCAGUCUGCAGCCCCACCGCACCCCCACGGCGCAGGAGGGGCUGAUCAAAACCCCCGCUUCACUGAACAGUGCUGCAGGAACCCAGUGGCCCUAGUUGUGAUCUCUCUCCCAGUCCCGGCGGUUUCAUGCCUUGGCUGAGUGUGGCCGCCUUGCUCAGGGAUGCUGCAUCUCAGCCAGCACUGGCAAGACUGAUGAA
This is a long non-coding RNA of Chelonia mydas (Green sea turtle), 631 nucleotides long. RefSeq lists it as uncharacterized. The transcript has 4 exons. The record is from RefSeq and is a predicted model, not a curated record. NCBI's taxonomy places the organism in Eukaryota, Metazoa, Chordata, Testudines, Cheloniidae.